UACGAAGGGGGGCUAGCGUUGCUCGGAUUGACUGGGCGUAAAGGGCGCGUAGGCGGUUCGUACAGUCAGACGUGAAAUUCCUGGGCUCAACCUGGGAACGGCAUUUGGGACUGUCGGGCUAGAGUUCGGGAGAGGUGGGUGGAAUUCCCAGUGUAGAGGUGAAAUUCGUAGAUAUUGGGAAGAACACCGGUGGCGAAGGCGGCUCACUGGACCGAGACUGACGCUGAGGCGCGAAAGCGUGGGAGCAAACAGG
RNAcentral lists this ribosomal RNA (253 nucleotides) under uncultured bacterium. RNAcentral describes it as "partial 16S ribosomal RNA". It matches the Rfam family "Bacterial small subunit ribosomal RNA", at positions 524 to 776 of the family's 1533-position model. The record is from RNAcentral.